AUGGUCAUGAAGUGGCUGGUGAAAAAUGUUUGUUUAUCAGCAAAUCGUAGGUAUUUUCCAAAGCUGCAAUCACUAUGACCUAUUGGGAUUCAAAGCUGCUUCCUAAGCAUGCCCAUUCCUUGGUUACAUCAUCAAAGGACCAGACAGUUGAGGCCUACCAUUGGCACCACGAGGCCUAUGGGUACUUCUUGCCCAUCCAGACAAGGUGGCAGGACAAUGACCAGUAUGGCCACGUCAACAACGCCGUGUACUAUAGCUACUUCGACACGAUUAUCAACCUCUACCUCAUCAGGUACUGUGGCCUGAAAACCAGCUUGCAGUCAUCCCCCAUGCUGGGGUUCAUGGUGGCCAACUGGUGUAUCUACCACACACCUAUCAGGUUUCCUUAGAUCCCAGUGGCUGCCUUGGUUGUGGAGAAAGUUAGUCACUCCAGUGUGCAUUACCUCCUUGCUCUAUUUCCACCUACGCCCACUGAGGAGCUGCCCUCUGUAGAUCACCGUGACCUCAGUGAUGCCUUUUUCUUUGGCCAUCCCAUGUUGGCACAGUUUGAUGCUCUGGCCUGUACCACUGGUUCUUCAGUUUAAGUCUUUGUGAAUCCAGCCACCGGCAAGCCAACAAGCCUUCCAGAAGACUUCCAGAGGGGCCUCCUGCAGCUGAUGAGGACAGCUUCCA
RNAcentral lists this small RNA (672 nucleotides) under Pan troglodytes (chimpanzee). RNAcentral's name for it is "transcribed unitary pseudogene". Lineage: Eukaryota; Metazoa; Chordata; Mammalia; Primates; Hominidae. The record is from RNAcentral.